Molecule: RNase P RNA, 323 nt
Filed under: uncultured Agathobaculum sp.
Lineage: Bacteria; Bacillati; Bacillota; Clostridia; Eubacteriales; Butyricicoccaceae
Description: Bacterial RNase P class A
Rfam family: Bacterial RNase P class A
About the family: Ribonuclease P (RNase P) is a ubiquitous endoribonuclease, found in archaea, bacteria and eukarya as well as chloroplasts and mitochondria. Its best characterised activity is the generation of mature 5'-ends of tRNAs by cleaving the 5'-leader elements of precursor-tRNAs.
Source: RNAcentral
UGACGGUCGCGUACCUUCGGGUAUGAGGAAAGUCCGGGCUGCACAGGGCAAGGAUAACGGAUAACGUCCGCCGAGGGUGACCUCAGGAAUAGUGCAACAGAGAUAUACCGCUGUUUUAUGUUCGCAUAAAGCAGUAAGGGUGGAAAGGCGAGGUAAGAGCUCACCGCGCCCCAUGGUAACAUGGGGGGCCUGUAAACUCUAUCCGCAGCAACGCCGACCGGGACUAUGGUUUGCCCGACCGUCCCGACUGGCGGCUUGAGACGUAUGGUAACAUACGUUCGAGAUAGAUGACCGUCCACGACAGAACCCGGCUUACGCACCAG